RNAcentral lists this ribosomal RNA (510 nucleotides) under Candida albicans. Its description in RNAcentral is "eukaryotic LSU rRNA". The stretch from base 143 to 296 matches the Rfam family "5.8S ribosomal RNA". The record is from RNAcentral. Lineage: Eukaryota; Fungi; Ascomycota; Pichiomycetes; Serinales; Debaryomycetaceae.
GGGUUCUGAUUGCUUAUUGCACCACAUGUGUUUUUCUUUGAAACAAACUUGCUUUGGCGGUGGGCCCAGCCUGCCGCCAGAGGUCUAAACUUACAACCAAUUUUUUAUCAACUUGUCACACCAGAUUAUUACUAAUAGUCAAAACUUUCAACAACGGAUCUCUUGGUUCUCGCAUCGAUGAAGAACGCAGCGAAAUGCGAUACGUAAUAUGAAUUGCAGAUAUUCGUGAAUCAUCGAAUUUUUGAACGCACAUUGCGCCCUCUGGUAUUCCGGAGGGCAUGCCUGUUUGAGCGUCGUUUCUCCCUCAAACCGCUGGGUUUGGUGUUGAGCAAUACGACUUGGGUUUGCUUGAAAGACGGUAGUGGUAAGGCGGGAUCGCUUUGACAAUGGCUUAGGUCUAACCAAAAACAUUGCUUGCGGCGGUAACGUCUACCACGUAUAUCUUCAAACUUUGACCUCAAAUCAGGUAGGACUACCCGCUGAACUUAAGCAUAUCAAUAAGCGGAGGAA